This 128-nucleotide unclassified non-coding RNA is filed under the name fungal sp. RNAcentral's name for it is "partial internal transcribed spacer region". Lineage: Eukaryota; Fungi. The record is from RNAcentral.
AAGUCGUAACAAGAUUUCCGUAGGUGAAGGCGCAAGCCCCCCUAUAACAAACGCUGCUAAGCGCGGCCGCGAUAAUACGCAGUCGACCAAAAACCGAACAACUGGUAACAAUGGAUAUCUUGGUUCUC